CCUACGGGAGGCAGCAGUGGGGAAUAUUGCACAAUGGGGGAAACCCUGAUGCAGCGACGCCGCGUGAGGGAUGAAGGUAUUCGGUAUGUAAAGCCCUAUUAUUAGGGAAGAAAAUGACGGUAUCUGACGAAUAAGCACCGGCUAACUACGUGCCAGCAGCCGCGGUAAUACGGAGGGUGCAAGCGUUACUCGGAAUGACUGGGCGUAAAGAGAGCGUAGACGGGAGAGCAAGUCUGAUGUGAAAUGCUAGGGCUCAACCACAGAACUGCAUUGGAAACUGUACGGCUAGAGUGUGGGAGAGGUAGGUGGAAUUCCUGGUGUAGCGGUAAAAUGCGUAGAUAUUAAGAGGAACACUCAUUGCGAAGGCGACUUGCUAGAACAUAACUGACGCUGAUGCUCGAAAGCGUGGGGAGCAAACAGGAUUAGAUACCCUAGUAGUC
RNAcentral lists this ribosomal RNA (440 nucleotides) under uncultured bacterium. RNAcentral's name for it is "partial 16S ribosomal RNA". It matches the Rfam family "Bacterial small subunit ribosomal RNA", at positions 338 to 795 of the family's 1533-position model. The record is from RNAcentral.